RNAcentral lists this ribosomal RNA (253 nucleotides) under uncultured bacterium. RNAcentral's name for it is "partial 16S ribosomal RNA". It matches the Rfam family "Bacterial small subunit ribosomal RNA", at positions 524 to 776 of the family's 1533-position model. The record is from RNAcentral.
UACGUAGGUGGCAAGCGUUGUCCGGAUUUACUGGGCGUAAAGAGCGCGCAGGCGGUCGUUCAAGUCGAGUGUGAAAGCCCCCGGCUCAACUGGGGAGGGUCACUCGAUACUGAUCGACUCGAAGGCAGGAGAGGGAAGUGGAAUUCCCGGUGUAGUGGUGAAAUGCGUAGAUAUCGGGAGGAACACCAAUGGCGAAAGCAGCUUUCUGGGACGGUACUGACGCUGAGACGCGAAAGCGUGGGGAGCGAACAGG